RNAcentral lists this ribosomal RNA (450 nucleotides) under uncultured Glomeromycotina. RNAcentral describes it as "SSU rRNA". It matches the Rfam family "Eukaryotic small subunit ribosomal RNA", at positions 569 to 1024 of the family's 1831-position model. The record is from RNAcentral. Lineage: Eukaryota; Fungi; Glomeromycota.
AGCAGCCGCGGUAAUUCCAGCUCCAAUAGCGUAUAUUAAAGUUGUUGCAGUUAAAAAGCUCGUAGUUGAAUUUCGGGAUCAAUUUGUCGGUCGUGCCUCGGUACGUACUGGUAUUAUUGGUUUCUACCUUCUGAAGAACCUUGAUGUCAUUAAUUUGGUGUCUUGGGGAAUCAGGACUGUUACUUUGAAAAAAUUAGAGUGUUUAAAGCAAGCAUACGCUUGAAUACAUUAGCAUGGAAUAAUGAAAUAGGACGUUUGAUUCUAUUUUGUUGGUUUUUAGGAUCGACGUAAUGAUUAAUAGGGAUAGUUGGGGGCAUUAGUAUUCAAUUGUCAGAGGUGAAAUUCUUGGAUUUAUUGAAGACUAACUACUGCGAAAGCAUUUGCCAAGGAUGUUUUCAUUAAUCAAGAACGAAAGUUAGGGGAUCGAAGACGAUCAGAUACCGUCGUAGU